Molecule: ribosomal RNA, 253 nt
Filed under: uncultured prokaryote
Description: partial 16S ribosomal RNA
Rfam family: Bacterial small subunit ribosomal RNA
Source: RNAcentral
ACGAAGGGUGCAAGCGUUACUCGGAAUUACUGGGCGUAAAGCGUGCGUAGGUGGUUCGUUAAGUCUGAUGUGAAAGCCCUGGGCUCAACCUGGGAAUGGCAUUGGAUACUGGCGACCUAGAGUGCGGUAGAGGGUGGCGGAAUUCCCGGUGUAGUGGUGGAAUGCGUAGAGAUCGGGAGGAACACCAGUGGCGAAGGCGGCUCGCUGGGCCGGUCCUGACGCUCAGGCGCGAAAGCGUGGGGAGCGAUCCGGA